This 373-nucleotide ribosomal RNA is filed under the name uncultured organism. Its description in RNAcentral is "partial 16S ribosomal RNA". It matches the Rfam family "Bacterial small subunit ribosomal RNA", at positions 527 to 896 of the family's 1533-position model. The record is from RNAcentral.
GUAGGUGGCAAGCGUUGUCCGGAAUUAUUGGGCGUAAAGCGCGCGCAGGCGGUUCUUUAAGUCUGAUGUGAAAGCCCACGGCUCAACCGUGGAGGGUCAUUGGAAACUGGAGAACUUGAGUACAGAAGAGGAAAGCGGAAUUCCACGUGUAGCGGUGAAAUGCGUAGAGAUGUGGAGGAACACCAGUGGCGAAGGCGGCUUUCUGGUCUGUAACUGACGCUGAGGCGCGAAAGCGUGGGGAGCAAACAGGGAUUAGAUACCCUGGUAGUCCACGCCGUAAACGAUGAGUGCUAAGUGUUAGGGGGGUUUCCGCCCCCUUAGUGCUGCAGCUAACGCAUUCAGCACUCCGCCUGGGAGUACGGCCGCAAGGCUG